AGUGAACGCUGGCGGUAGGCCUAACACAUGCAAGUCGAACGACAGCACAGUAAGAUCUUGCUCUUACGGGUGGCGAGUGGCGGACGGGUGAGGAAUACAUCGCAAUCUACUUUUUCGUGGGUGAUAACGUAGGGAAACUUACGCUAAUACCUCAUACAACCUACGGGUGAAAGCAGUGGAUCUUCGGACCUUUCGCGAUUGAAUGAGCCGAUGUCGGAUUAGCUAGUUGGCUGGGUAAAGGCCCACCAAGGCGACGAUACGUAGCUGGUCUGAGAGGAUGAUCAGCCACAAUGGAACUGAGAAACGGUCCAGACUCCUACGGGAGGCAGCAGUGGGGAAUAUUGGACAAUGGGCGCAAGCCUGAUCCAGCCAUACCGCGUGGGUGAAGAAGGCCUUCGGGUUGUAAAGCCCUUUUGUUGGGAAAGAAAAGCAGCAGGUUAAUCCACCGCUGUUCUGACGGUACCCAAAGAAUAAGCACCGGCUAACUUCGUG
This 492-nucleotide ribosomal RNA is filed under the name uncultured bacterium. RNAcentral describes it as "partial 16S ribosomal RNA". It matches the Rfam family "Bacterial small subunit ribosomal RNA", at positions 29 to 507 of the family's 1533-position model. The record is from RNAcentral.